CUCUCUCUCUCUCUCUCAAAAAAAAAAAAAGUGGUUGACAGAGCAUGGAGUUUAUACGGUACAAAUAUAUACUAGAAAAUAUAUACUGGAAAAGGACUAUGUCCCAAAGAACUUCAAUAUAUAAUAUCUAAUAGCUGGAUAGAAGAUUGUGGUCCUAUAAAACCAAGUGAAAAAGUCGCUAGAAACAGGAAAAUAACAGGAUAACAGGAAAAUAAGACCAUCAUGUCAUAGGGAACAAUGUGGAAAAAUAUCAGGUGUGGUUCACAGAAAUGAAUUCUGUUGAUAGGUUCAAAUAAGAUGAGAACUGAAAAUGUCUUUGUUGGCUUCACAACAUGCAACCAUUGGUGACUUUAGUGAACAUUAUGUUGAUGGACUAAUGACCUGCAAGUAAGAUUGAUGCAGAUACAGAAUCCAAUCCACUUCUGUAUUGGGGGUGAAGAAAUGGCAUAAGCAAACACAGUUCUUUCUUUCUAACAAUUUCUUUUUUUAAAAAAGUUUGGCUGUGAAAGGGAGGGACCUGCGAUGGUAGCUAGUGGGGAGUAAAGGGUUAAAUUGAGGUAGGUGUGUGUGUGUGUGAUUGUGUGUGUGUGAGCGUGCACGCUUUAAUGGGUGCUACUUAAGCAGUUAAGAAAGACAAGGAGCGGUGAAGGAACAAUAGAUAUUAAAAAUAGUAAGGGCAGGGAAGAAUGAGUUCCAAAGCAGAACAGGAGAAUUAGGAUUAUAGUAGAUUAGGUAAUGGCAGAAAAAUCUCCUCUAGUGCUUUACUCUUCAUGGUGGUCCAUGGCUUCUUGGGAAGUUAUAAGAAAUGGAGACUUCACUUGGGGGUCUCUACAGAAUCAGAAUCUGAAUUUUGAAUAGAAUUUGAGUCAGAAUUAGAAAUCUGAAUUUUGAUAACUGAAGUGUACAUAAAGUUUGAGGAGCACUACACCACAGAAGCUGGAGGAAAGGACAAUGGGCUGAAGUCCUAAUGGGGAAAGUGUGUGAAAUAAAACAAGAUGCCCCAAAGUCUCUCAUUAAUCCGGGCCAGAUGGAUCAAGUGAACUUGGUGUUGGAGAGACAACCUGAGUCUGGCUUCCUCUUUCACCUGCUUCUUCUGUGUCACAGAUAGGAUCUACAGUGCCUGUGUUCCCUGACGAGGACAUGCACAAUUCUUCCUACCUUGUAGGUGCAUAUGAUGAAAACAAUCCAGGUGUCACCAGGAAAUAAACAGGCCAUGGUUUCUUUUCAAAUCUGAGGAUGUGAGUAAAUUUGCAACUCCAUUACAACCAUCUUAUUAUUAUUUACUCCUUCAGAGCUUUCUAAUCUUUUC
Acinonyx jubatus (cheetah) is the source of this 1309-nucleotide long non-coding RNA. RefSeq lists it as uncharacterized. The record is from RefSeq and is a predicted model, not a curated record. Lineage: Eukaryota; Metazoa; Chordata; Mammalia; Carnivora; Felidae. The transcript has 3 exons.